GACGAACGCUGGCGGCGUGCCUAACACAUGCAAGUCAACUUGACUGAAGGAGCAAUCUGACAGUAGAGUGGCGCAAGGGUGCGUAACGCGUAAGUAACUUGCCCAAGGUAAGGAAUAACGUCGAGAAAUCGGCGCUAAUACCUCAUAAUGCAGCGGACCCGCAUGGAUAUGUUGUUAAAGGUUUACCGCCUUGGGAUAGGCUUGCGUCUGAUUAGCUAGUUGGUGUGGUAACGGCACACCAAGGCUACGAUCAGUAACUGGUCUGAGAGGAUGAUCAGUCACACUGGAACUGAGACACGGUCCAGACUCCUACGGGAGGCAGCAGUGAGGAAUAUUGGGCAAUGCUCGAAAGAGUGACCCAGCAACGCCGCGUGGAGGAUGAAGGUAUUCUAUAUCGUAAACUCCUGUGAGAGCAGACGAAAGACAGAUUAUUAAUCUGGAUGACUGUAUGCUCAGAGGAAGCCCCGGCUAACUACGUG
RNAcentral lists this ribosomal RNA (479 nucleotides) under uncultured bacterium. RNAcentral's name for it is "bacterial SSU rRNA". It matches the Rfam family "Bacterial small subunit ribosomal RNA", at positions 28 to 507 of the family's 1533-position model. The record is from RNAcentral.